UACGAAGGGUGCAAGCGUUAUUCGGAAUUAUUGGGCGUAAAGGGUGCGCAGGCGGCAUGCUAAGUCAGCUGUUUAAUUUCUCGGCCUAACUGAGAGUCAGCAGCAGAUACUGGUGUGCUAGAGGGUGGAAGAGAGAAGUGGAAUUCUCGGAGUAGCGGUAAAAUGCGUAGAUCUCGAGAGGAACACCAAUGGCGAAGGCAGCUUCUUGGUCCACACCUGACGCUCAUGCACGAAAGCGUGGGGAGCAAACAGG
Molecule: ribosomal RNA, 253 nt
Filed under: uncultured bacterium
Lineage: Bacteria
Also listed under: 1 other name
Description: partial 16S ribosomal RNA
Rfam family: Bacterial small subunit ribosomal RNA
Source: RNAcentral